UGCAUCGGCCGGGAAUCGAACCCGGGCCGCCGCAUGGCAGGCGAGCAUUCCACCACCGAACCACCAAUGC
Molecule: transfer RNA, 70 nt
Filed under: Cordylochernes scorpioides
Lineage: Eukaryota; Metazoa; Arthropoda; Arachnida; Pseudoscorpiones; Chernetidae
Description: tRNA-Gly
Source: RNAcentral